UUCAAGUACAGACGAAUCUUUAAGAUCAGUUUUAUCCUUCGGGUCUCACGCAAUUGCGCAAACACCCAGUUCUUCAAAUGCUGCUUCAUUGAUUCAAAAGAGUAUUCAUUAAAAAGUAUUUAAUAUCAGUUUCUAUCAUUUACUAAAGAAUUACACAACAUUACUACCCUACUACCCUUCUAUACAAAGCAAAAUCUUAGAUG
Molecule: unclassified non-coding RNA, 203 nt
Filed under: Hevea brasiliensis (rubber tree)
Lineage: Eukaryota; Viridiplantae; Streptophyta; Magnoliopsida; Malpighiales; Euphorbiaceae
Source: RNAcentral